UACGUAGGGGGCAAGCGUUGUCCGGAAUCAUUGGGCGUAAAGCGCGUGUAGGCGGUCCGGUAAGUCUGCUGUGAAAGUCCAGGGCUCAACCCUGGGAUGCCGGUGGAUACUGUCGGGCUAGAGUGCGGAAGAGGCGAGUGGAAUUCCCGGUGUAGCGGUGAAAUGCGCAGAUAUCGGGAGGAACACCAAUUGCGAAGGCAGCUCGCUGGGACGUAACUGACGCUGAGACGCGAAAGCGUGGGGAGCAAACAGG
RNAcentral lists this ribosomal RNA (253 nucleotides) under uncultured bacterium. RNAcentral describes it as "partial 16S ribosomal RNA". It matches the Rfam family "Bacterial small subunit ribosomal RNA", at positions 524 to 776 of the family's 1533-position model. The record is from RNAcentral.